UCUGAGCAACAUCCAUGUGUGG
This 22-nucleotide non-coding RNA is filed under the name Mus musculus (house mouse). The record is from RNAcentral. Lineage: Eukaryota; Metazoa; Chordata; Mammalia; Rodentia; Muridae.